UACGAAGGUGGCAAGCGUUGUUCGGAUUUACUGGGCGUAAAGGGAGCGUAGGUGGUGGGGUAAGCCCCGCGGGAAAGCUCCAGGCUUAACCUGGAAAGGUCGCGGGGGACUGCUCCGCUUGAGGACGGGAGAGGAGCGCGGAAUUCCCGGUGUAGCGGUGAAAUGCGUAGAGAUCGGGAGGAAGGCCGGUGGCGAAGGCGGCGCUCUGGAACGGCCCUGACACUGAGGCUCGAAAGCGUGGGGAGCAAACAGGG
RNAcentral lists this ribosomal RNA (254 nucleotides) under uncultured bacterium. RNAcentral describes it as "partial 16S ribosomal RNA". It matches the Rfam family "Bacterial small subunit ribosomal RNA", at positions 524 to 777 of the family's 1533-position model. The record is from RNAcentral.